RNAcentral lists this ribosomal RNA (408 nucleotides) under uncultured bacterium. Its description in RNAcentral is "partial 16S ribosomal RNA". It matches the Rfam family "Bacterial small subunit ribosomal RNA", at positions 28 to 526 of the family's 1533-position model. The record is from RNAcentral.
GACGAACGCUGGCGGCGUGCUUAACACAUGCAAGUCGAACGAAGUGGCGAACGGGAGAGUAACGCGUAAUCAACCUGCCCUUCCGAGGGGGACAACAGUUGGCAACGACAGCUAAUACCGAUAAAUGAAGGAGUGGAUUGCGUUUGCUUAGUUAGUUGGAGGGGGAACGGCCCACCAAGGCGAUGAUCAGUAGCCGGUCUGAGAGGAUGAACGGCCACAUUGGGACUGAGACACGGCCCAGACUCCUACGGGAGGCAGCAGUGGGGAAUCUUCCGCAAUGGACGAAAGUCUGACGGAGCAACGCCGCGUGAGUGAUGACGGCCUUCGGGUUGUAAAGCUCUGUUGAUCGGGACGCGGUACCGGAAUAGAAAGCCACGGCUAACUACGUGCCAGCAGCCGCGGUAAUUC